GCUUGUCUCAAAGAUUAAGCCAUGCAUGUGUUAGUAUAAACGCCUUUAUACUGUGAAACUGCGAACGGCUCAUUAUAUCAGUUAUAGUUUAUUUGAUACUUUUCGACUAUUGGAUAACCGUAGUAAUUCUAGAGCUAAUACAUGCGCCAAGUCCCGUCUCACGUCGGGAUGUAUUUAUUAGAUGGAAACCAAUGCGGGGCAACCCGGAAUAUGGUGAUUCAUAAUAACUUUCGGAUCGUUUACGAUGCAUCAUUCAAGUUUCUGCCCUAUCAGCUUUGGAUGGUAGGGUAUUGGCCUACCAUGGCUUUAACGGGUAACGGAGAAUUAGGGUUCGAUUCCGGAGAGGGAGCCUGAGAAAUGGCUACCACAUCCAAGGAAGGCAGCAGG
RNAcentral lists this ribosomal RNA (387 nucleotides) under Ochromonas tuberculata. RNAcentral describes it as "partial small subunit ribosomal RNA". It matches the Rfam family "Eukaryotic small subunit ribosomal RNA", at positions 30 to 432 of the family's 1831-position model. The record is from RNAcentral. Lineage: Eukaryota; Chrysophyceae; Chromulinales; Chromulinaceae.